This 429-nucleotide long non-coding RNA is filed under the name Androctonus crassicauda. The record is from RNAcentral. Lineage: Eukaryota; Metazoa; Arthropoda; Arachnida; Scorpiones; Buthidae.
CCUACAUACAUUGCAGGAUCCUUAUAGACAAAAGAAUUCAAAUUUCUGAUCAGUGAUGUGGUAUAUAAAAACAUCCUUAUUGUUAAUGGUUCUUGUUUUUUUAUGUAUAUUUGAUGUAUUAUAAAGAAGUGGAGUGUAAUAAUGAUUAAAUAUUGGUAUUGGACAAGCCAUAAAUUUUGUGUAUUUCCAGUUUAUAACUGUUCCAACUUAUGAUGGCAGGGUUUGAACCAAACUCCACUGUAGGUCAAGGACUAUCUAUAUUUCCAAAACAUCCAUUUGUUGUUUCCCAUUUUUUUCAUUCCAUUCUUUAUUCUCUUCACCAACCAUGUAUACUUUUUUUGUAUAUGCUAUACUCAUCUGCACUCACACUUAGUACUUUUUUUAUGACAGUAUAUGCUGGUAUACUGUACUGGCACCUAUUUCUAAAAU